CGUAAAAGACAUGCGCAGUAAUUCAAAGUUCCCGGAUGAAGAAACGGAAGUCUCGUCAGUUGGACAGGAUAGCUGUGUUCGGAUACUCAUACUAACCGUACUAUUUGUGACGUGGGUUUAGUAAAUCGUAUGCUUAUUGGUCAUAGUAUGGAUAUACAAGAAGCAACAGCAAAACGAUUCAAGACCUAGGGGUAUCAUCAUCCUAUUCACUGCCAGAUUCUACAGGGAUGAUGUCUGGAAAGCUGCUAGGAAGGACGCCUUCCUUCAGAGCCAUGGUAUGCGUUUCUCCGAGCAUCUCAGCCCGGAAGACAUAGAAAGAAGGAACAAGUUGUGGCCAACGAUCAAGAUAGCACGAAAUGAGGGAAAGGCUGCUUACUUCGUCGGAGGACGAGGCUUCAUCAACGGUUCAGAAAUCCAUAUUCCUCCCUAAAAUCUCACCAGAAGGAACAGGUUGAUGGUUUCAGCCAUUCUCAUUUUCCUUAUGUUGUUUACCUAACGAGCAUCAGGUGACUAUUUUUCAGGAAUACUCAGUUUCUCUUAAUGCUAGGGGGUUACGAAACAAUGUCAAGAGUCUCACUCAAUUUCGGCUGACGCCAACUUCUGGCUGAGACCAACUUCUGGAGGUCACAGUGGGGCAACGAUAUUUGGCUUUCCCAUGGAUCUGAACGCUCCGCCAGUGUCACUACAAUAAAAAAUACCUUUGGUGGUAAUAUUUUA
Long non-coding RNA from Oncorhynchus nerka (sockeye salmon), 717 nucleotides. RefSeq lists it as uncharacterized. The transcript has 2 exons. NCBI's taxonomy places the organism in Eukaryota, Metazoa, Chordata, Actinopteri, Salmoniformes, Salmonidae. The record is from RefSeq and is a predicted model, not a curated record.